RNAcentral lists this long non-coding RNA (1104 nucleotides) under Crocodylus porosus (Australian saltwater crocodile). Its description in RNAcentral is "lncRNA (ENSCPRG00005016637.1)". Lineage: Eukaryota; Metazoa; Chordata; Crocodylia; Crocodylidae. The record is from RNAcentral.
CACUACCCUUCGGGUUGGAGCCCGAGAAGAUCCCAUGGUAACUAUUAGCGUUGGUAGCAGAGACUUUGAAGCCUUGGUUGAUACUGGGGCUACAUUUUCAAUGAUCCCAGAAAACCCUCCCCCUGUGCAGGAACUAGCGAACAGCAUGUUCUUGUGGAGGGGAUUGAGGGAACGCAAUCCUGACUAACCGUUUGUAAGCCACUCCUCACCAAAGUGGGGGACCAUUUGCUUGAGCACUUCUUUGUAUAUUCUCCAAGUUGCCCGGUUGUGCUACUUGGACGAGACCUACUCACAAAACUGCAAGCUGAGAUAUUUUUCAGAGACGAUCAGAUGGUAGUCCAGUUACCUGUCAAGCAGAGCUCGAACUAUCAGAUGGCUCUCCUGGAGGACCGAUGCCCUGUACCUUGAACCCUGCAACCUUGCUGCUGGAACCAGGGAGACCAACACAUGACUGCCUUGAGGUCCUGAAUCAGACCACACAAGUGCAACCUGAUCUUGCUGAGGACCCAAUUGAGAACCCAGAUGCUGAGUACUUCGUAGACAGCUCCAGCUCUGUCAUCGGUGGAAAAAGACGAACAGGAUUUGCAGUGGUAACUUUGGAUGAGGUAGUAUGGAGGGAGUCAUUGCUGAGCUCAUGGUCGGCACAGGCCGCGGAACUCACUGCGCUCACCUGAGCAUUACAGUUGGGGACACGCCAGUGGGUUAAUGUAUAUACCGAUUCUUGCUAUGCUUUUUCUACGGUUCAUGCGCACAGACUAUUGUGGAAAGAAAGGGGUUUCAUUACGGCUUCUGGGAGUAAAAUUGCUAACGGCCCUCAGAUUAUCAAGCUAUUAGAUGCACUCCACCAGCCUAAAGAGGUGGCAGUCAUUCAUGUGCGAGCCCAUGCAAAGGCUGCAGAGGAAAAGCAUAAGCUUGGAAACGCAAGGGCUGAUACGGCAGCAAAGGAAGCUGCAUUUAUUGGUGGAGAGGCAGAGGAAGUAUCCAGGCAGGCCUUGUCCCAUGCCGUAUGGCCAUACGUCUGGGAUCUAGUCCCGCAGUAUUCCCCUGAAGAAGAUAAAAUUGCAAAGGAGGCUCGCACAGAAAAGAACUCCCAUGGAUGGUGGA